CGAGGAAGGCGAUCUCGGCGAGGAAGGCGGCGCCUACGAGGAGCGGCAGCAAGCACCUCCAUCGCCGCCGGCGGCCCGCCUGCGACUGCGAGUGGGAGGAGACCAUCAUUGCUGGCCCUCCUCGCGCCUCGCCGGCGCCGGGUGGGGAGUGGUGGAGAGAUCGUGUGGGGCGACCAAGAGACGGUGGGCGGAGUCAGGCGAGUUUGGAACGAGCCAACGACCCCCCGCGCCAGCAGCCGCUGAGAUCUUCCUCGCACGGGCACGGAUUUGGUUCUGUUCGGCCGGCUCCAAUUCUCCAUUGGCACGGACGAGGGACGAGUCGUACUCGUACAGACAGACGGGCGCCGGCGA
Molecule: unclassified non-coding RNA, 351 nt
Filed under: Zea mays
Lineage: Eukaryota; Viridiplantae; Streptophyta; Magnoliopsida; Poales; Poaceae
Description: misc RNA Zm00001eb038050
Source: RNAcentral